RNAcentral lists this ribosomal RNA (466 nucleotides) under uncultured bacterium. Its description in RNAcentral is "partial 16S ribosomal RNA". It matches the Rfam family "Bacterial small subunit ribosomal RNA", at positions 28 to 507 of the family's 1533-position model. The record is from RNAcentral.
GAUGAACGCUGGCGGCGUGCUUAACACAUGCAAGUCGAACGGAAAGGCUCCUGCUUGCAGGGGUACUCGAGUGGCGAACGGGUGAGUAACACGUGGGUGAUCUGCCCUGCGCUUCGGGAUAAGCUUGGGAAACUGGGUCUAAUACCGGAUAGGACCGCAUUUUGGAUGGUGUGGUGGAAAGUUUUUUCGGUGUGGGAUGAGCUCGCGGCCUAUCAGCUUGUUGGUGGGGUAAUGGCCUACCAAGGCGUCGACGGGUAGCCGGCCUGAGAGGGUGUACGGCCACAUUGGGACUGAGAUACGGCCCAGACUCCUACGGGAGGCAGCAGUGGGGAAUAUUGCACAAUGGGCGCAAGCCUGAUGCAGCGACGCCGCGUGGGGGAUGACGGCCUUCGGGUUGUAAACUCCUUUCGCUAGGGACGAAGAGUAAUUGACGGUACCUGGAGAAGAAGCACCGGCUAACUACGUG